UUAAAUGACAAGUCUAGAAAAAAAAUUUGUAAAACCCAAUUAAAGGCGGGCCUAUCAAAGAAUAACCCAUGUCUGUUUGACAGGAGGAAGAGCGGCCGGCCUAGGUUUUCUUUCUCGGUAUUACUUAAAAUUAGAAACAUAUUCAUCACGGCACCAAUCUAUCUUAUGUUGCAGUGAUUUCUACUCAACUUCCUCAUCACCAAACUUGGAAGGUAAUUUUUCAAUUGUGAGUUUAUUGAAGGAAAGAUGAAGAAAGGAAUCCAUCCUCAGAUGCAAUGGAUAUCCUAUGUGACCCAGAGUGGUCGAUUGAUGCCCGUUAUGAUGAGCAAAAUACACCAAGUUGGUAAAGUCUAUCAUUUCAGGGCUAAGCGGCAGAUGGCUCAAAGUAUUGGACAGAUUGCCAAAUUUAAGCGUCGUUAUGGACAGCAGCAGGAAGAGGAAACCCAGGACCAGGAGAAAUAAAUUCUUUUGAGGUGCAAAAUGAAUGGUACAUUGCUCUAUUAUAAUGUAUUAAGAUUCACCCACCAAGUUAACAAAUGGUGUUUCGUUCAGUUAAUACAGUUGCUGAGUUGCUCCUUGAUGCACAUUUGUUUUCUAUUCACUUUCCAGUUAGAAUUCCAGUUGCCUUACUUUUUUUAAUCCACAGGAUAUUAUACUAGUAUAUCUUUGUAGUGUUAAGUUGGAUGUUGGCUGAAUGAAUUUCUAUGAUGUUCACAAUCUGAAGAUGU
Olea europaea var. sylvestris is the source of this 728-nucleotide RNA transcript. RefSeq lists it as uncharacterized. Lineage: Eukaryota; Viridiplantae; Streptophyta; Magnoliopsida; Lamiales; Oleaceae. The transcript is spliced from 2 exons. The record is from RefSeq and is a predicted model, not a curated record.